This 1101-nucleotide ribosomal RNA is filed under the name Chryseobacterium sp. wB4. RNAcentral's name for it is "bacterial SSU rRNA". It matches the Rfam family "Bacterial small subunit ribosomal RNA", at positions 237 to 1344 of the family's 1533-position model. Lineage: Bacteria; Pseudomonadati; Bacteroidota; Flavobacteriia; Flavobacteriales; Weeksellaceae. The record is from RNAcentral.
ANNNUUAGAUAGUNGGUAGGGUAACGGCCUACCAAGUCAGNNNNCUUUAGGGGGCCUGAGAGGGUGAUNNNCCACACUGGUACUGAGACACGGACCAGACUCCUACGGGAGGCAGCAGUGAGGAAUAUUGGACAAUGGGUGAGAGCCUGAUCCAGCCAUCCCGCGUGAAGGACGACGGCCCUAUGGGUUGUAAACUUCUUUUGUAUAGGGAUAAACCUUUCCACGUGUGGGAAGCUGAAGGUACUAUACGAAUAAGCACCGGCUAACUCCGUGCCAGCAGCCGCGGUAAUACGGAGGGUGCAAGCGUUAUCCGGAUUUAUUGGGUUUAAAGGGUCCGUAGGCGGAUCUGUAAGUCAGUGGUGAAAUCUCACAGCUUAACUGUGAAACUGCCAUUGAUACUGCAGGUCUUGAGUAAAGUAGAAGUGGCUGGAAUAAGUAGUGUAGCGGUGAAAUGCAUAGAUAUUACUUAGAACACCAAUUGCGAAGGCAGGUCACUAUGUUUUAACUGACGCUGAUGGACGAAAGCGUGGGGAGCGAACAGGAUUAGAUACCCUGGUAGUCCACGCCGUAAACGAUGCUAACUCGUUUUUGGGCUUUAGGGUUCAGAGACUAAGCGAAAGUGAUAAGUUAGCCACCUGGGGAGUACGUUCGCAAGAAUGAAACUCAAAGGAAUUGACGGGGGCCCGCACAAGCGGUGGAUUAUGUGGUUUAAUUCGAUGAUACGCGAGGAACCUUACCAAGGCUUAAAUGGGAAUUGAUCGGUUUAGAAAUAGACCUUCCUUCGGGCAAUUUUCAAGGUGCUGCAUGGUUGUCGUCAGCUCGUGCCGUGAGGUGUUAGGUUAAGUCCUGCAACGAGCGCAACCCCUGUCACUAGUUGCCAUCAUUAAGUUGGGGACUCUAGUGAGACUGCCUACGCAAGUAGAGAGGAAGGUGGGGAUGACGUCAAAUCAUCACGGCCCUUACGCCUUGGGCCACACACGUAAUACAAUGGCCGGUACAGAGGGCAGCUACACAGCGAUGUGAUGCAAAUCUCGAAAGCCGGUCUCAGUUCGGAUUGGAGUCUGCAACUCGACUCUAUGAAGCUGGAAUCGCUAGUAAUCG